RNAcentral lists this ribosomal RNA (391 nucleotides) under Rhizosolenia sp. RNAcentral describes it as "partial small subunit ribosomal RNA". It matches the Rfam family "Eukaryotic small subunit ribosomal RNA", at positions 582 to 975 of the family's 1831-position model. Lineage: Eukaryota; Bacillariophyta; Coscinodiscophyceae; Rhizosoleniales; Rhizosoleniaceae. The record is from RNAcentral.
AUUCCAGCUCCAAUAGUGUAUAUUAAAGUUGUUGCAGUUAAAAAGCUCGUAGUUGGAUUUCUGGCGGGAGCGAUCGGUCCUUCACUCAGUGUUGGAACCUGAUUGUCUCCUGCCAUCCAUGGAGAAAACUUAUCUGGCAUUAAGUUGUCGGGUAGGCAAUCUCCAUCUUUUACUGUGAAAAAAUUAGAGUGUUCAAAGCAGGCUUAUGCCGUUGAAUAUAUUAGCAUGGAAUAAUAAGAUAGGACUAUGGUACUAUUUUGUUGGUUUGUGCACCAUGGUAAUGAUUAAUAGGGACAGUUGGGGGUAUUCGUAUUCCAUUGUCAGAGGUGAAAUUCUUGGAUUUAUGGAAGACGAACUACUGCGAAAGCAUUUACCAAGGAUGUUUUCAUCA